UACUGACACUUGUGUCUCACUGUAGUGUGUGUACCAUAAUUUUAUUCAACUGAAACUAUUUAUAGAACAUGUUACUCUAGUGCUAUAUCCCUUUUAGUUAACACUUCUAACAAAUAUCCUAUUUUUCUGUUUUAUUAUACCUCCAUAACUAAGAUAACUGCUUUCUAAGUGUAGUGUUAUUCAUUCCAACUAACAUUAUGGAAAAUACCAAGGGAAUGGCUAAUUUUAGCCCAACAUAGCUCAACUGGAAAAAUGAUCCAUGCAAGGAUAUGUAAGUGUACGAUUUAUAUUCCCUUGGCAAUUCUCCACAAGUUGCAGUUUAGUGAAUAACCCAAAUAGUAUUUUUGAUGGUGUGUACUAAAGCAUUCAUGUUUCUAAUUACACAGUCUUGUGCAUGCAAACUGUGAAAAUAGAAGAGUGCCUUUAAGAACUUGACAGUUUGUAUACGUGACAGCACUUCUGGUGACAGAGAUAGGAUUGCAUAAAUAUGGUAUAAAACUACAUUAUAAGUGUGGGAUGUUUUGAUUUGGAUACUGUAGUUCCAGUUUAUUGGUUGGAAAUAAUAUAAUGGUUUGCUCCAAUCCUUUUUAUAAGAUGAUGUAUGUAUCUUUUAAAUACAUAUGUAGGAAAGCCAGAUCCUAUUAAUAAAAUUAUAGAACUCAAUAAACCUUGUAGGCUAUGAGCCCAUACAUUAUGAUGGAUGUGUGGCUACAUUUCACCGUAUCUGGAUAUAUUUAGUUUUGCUGUGAUAUUUAUUACUAUCUUUCUAGCUGUGUGUGUGUGUGUGUGUG
Non-coding RNA from Pelobates cultripes (western spadefoot toad), 791 nucleotides. The record is from the annotation of a GenBank genome assembly. Lineage: Eukaryota; Metazoa; Chordata; Amphibia; Anura; Pelobatidae.